Molecule: non-coding RNA, 436 nt
Organism: Puma concolor (puma)
Lineage: Eukaryota; Metazoa; Chordata; Mammalia; Carnivora; Felidae
Source: RefSeq, a predicted model, not a curated record
AAGAGUGUAAAAAUAAUGAAGUAGGUUCAAGUGAACUGGAGUAACAAUGGAGCACCUUGUGGGGAAAAACCCUGUUCGCUGUGAAUUUUCACAUGACCCUCUUCGGUCUCAUGCUGCAGAUUCAGCCAUGCGCUCUGGGGCCCAGCUGGUGUGUGGAGGCUCAGGCCACAGAAGGAAAAGGCAUCUCGUCCGCCUCCCACUCUGGGGGACCCAUUUCCUCCAGUAUUUGAGGAGGAUUGGUUUCUUCACUUCCAGCAGAGUUCACGUGAACUAAGGUGCUGGCUGGGAGAUCUCGGUGCCCACUGCUCCAUCCAUGAAGCGAUCAAGCCGCUGCUCCCCACCCAAGACUUAACACGCUCUGGAAGACAGUCAUCUUAACUGGUUCUAUAGUCAACGUCCAUCUCGUGAAAUGACCUUAUUUAUUAAUACUAGUAAA